UACUGAUCUUAGCGGCGGACGGGUGAGUAAUGCUUAGGAAUCUGCCUAUUAGUGGGGGACAACAUUUCGAAAGGAAUGCUAAUACCGCAUACGUCCUACGGGAGAAAGCAGGGGAUCUUCGGACCUUGCGCUAAUAGAUGAGCCUAAGUCGGAUUAGCUAGUUGGUGGGGUAAAGGCCUACCAAGGCGACGAUCUGUAGCGGGUCUGAGAGGAUGAUCCGCCACACUGGGACUGAGACACGGCCCAGACUCCUACGGGAGGCAGCAGUGGGGAAUAUUGGACAAUGGGCGGAAGCCUGAUCCAGCCAUGCCGCGUGUGUGAAGAAGGCCUUAUGGUUGUAAAGCACUUUAAGCGAGGAGGAGGCUACUUUAGUUAAUACCUAGAGAUAGUGGACGUUACUCGCAGAAUAAGCACCGGCUAACUCUGUGCCAGCAGCCGCGGUAAUACAGAGGGUGCAAGCGUUAAUCGGAUUUACUGGGCGUAAAGCGCGCGUAGGCGGCUAAUUAAGUCAAAUGUGAAAUCCCCGAGCUUAACUUGGGAAUUGCAUUCGAUACUGGUUAGCUAGAGUGUGGGAGAGGAUGGUAGAAUUCCAGGUGUAGCGGUGAAAUGCGUAGAGAUCUGGAGGAAUACCGAUGGCGAAGGCAGCCAUCUGGCCUAACACUGACGCUGAGGUGCGAAAGCAUGGGGAGCAAACAGGAUUAGAUACCCUGGUAGUCCAUGCCGUAAACGAUGUCUACUAGCCGUUGGGGCCUUUGAGGCUUUAGUGGCGCAGCUAACGCGAUAAGUAGACCGCCUGGGGAGUACGGUCGCAAGACUAAAACUCAAAUGAAUUGACGGGGGCCCGCACAAGCGGUGGAGCAUGUGGUUUAAUUCGAUGCAACGCGAAGAACCUUACCUGGCCUUGACAUAGUAAGAACUUUCCAGAGAUGGAUUGGUGCCUUCGGGAACUUACAUACAGGUGCUGCAUGGCUGUCGUCAGCUCGUGUCGUGAGAUGUUGGGUUAAGUCCCGCAACGAGCGCAACCCUUUUCCUUAUUUGCCAGCGAGUAAUGUCGGGAACUUUAAGGAUACUGCCAGUGACAAACUGGAGGAAGGCGGGGACGACGUCAAGUCAUCAUGGCCCUUACGGCCAGGGCUACACACGUGCUACAAUGGUCGGUACAAAGGGUUGCUACCUAGCGAUAGGAUGCUAAUCUCAAAAAGCCGAUCGUAGUCCGGAUUGGAGUCUGCAACUCGACUCCAUGAAGUCGGAAUCGCUAGUAAUC
Molecule: ribosomal RNA, 1264 nt
Filed under: Acinetobacter oleivorans
Lineage: Bacteria; Pseudomonadati; Pseudomonadota; Gammaproteobacteria; Moraxellales; Moraxellaceae
Description: bacterial SSU rRNA
Rfam family: Bacterial small subunit ribosomal RNA
Source: RNAcentral